UUGAAAGAGGGUUAAAUAGUACGUGAAAUUGUUGAAAGGGAAGCGCUUGUGACCAGACUUGGGCGCGGCGGAUCAUCCGGGGUUCUCCCCGGUGCACUUCGCCGCGUCCAGGCCAGCAUCAGUUCGUCGCGGGGGAAAAAGGCUUCGGGAACGUGGCUCCCUCGGGAGUGUUAUAGCCCGUUGCGUAAUACCCUGCGGUGGACUGAGGACCGCGCAUCUGCAAGGAUGCUGGCGUAAUGGUCACCAGCGACCCGUCUUGAAACACGGACCAAGACGACGGGUCGUUG
RNAcentral lists this ribosomal RNA (287 nucleotides) under Trichoderma sp. BAB-2273. RNAcentral describes it as "partial 28S ribosomal RNA". It matches the Rfam family "Eukaryotic large subunit ribosomal RNA", at positions 377 to 684 of the family's 3401-position model. The record is from RNAcentral. Lineage: Eukaryota; Fungi; Ascomycota; Sordariomycetes; Hypocreales; Hypocreaceae.